This 1875-nucleotide long non-coding RNA is filed under the name Mus musculus (house mouse). Its description in RNAcentral is "predicted gene, 46620". The record is from RNAcentral. Lineage: Eukaryota; Metazoa; Chordata; Mammalia; Rodentia; Muridae.
GACCACCGAUCCCCCGCCGGGAGCUCACUUACAGGCCCUCCAAGCAGUACAACGAGAGGUCUGGAAGCCACUGGCCGCUGCCUAUCAGGACCAGCUGGACCAGCCAGUGAUACCACACCCCUUCCGUGUCGGCGACACCGUGUGGGUACGCCGGCACCAGACUAAGAACUUGGAACCUCGCUGGAAAGGACCCUACACCGUCCUGCUGACCACCCCCACCGCUCUCAAAGUAGACGGCAUCGCUGCGUGGAUCCACGCCGCUCACGUAAAAGCGGCGACAACCCCUCCGGCCGGAACAGCAUCAGGACCGACAUGGAAGGUCCAGCGUUCUCAAAACCCCUUAAAGAUAAGAUUAACCCGUGGGGCCCCCUAAUAAUCCUGGGGAUCUUAAUAAGGGCAGGAGUAUCAGUACAACAUGACAGCCCUCAUCAGGUCUUCAAUGUUACUUGGAGAGUUACCAACUUAAUGACAGGACAAACAGCUAAUGCUACCUCCCUCCUGGGGACAAUGACCGAUGCCUUUCCUAAACUGUACUUUGACUUGUGCGAUUUAAUAGGGGACGACUGGGAUGAGACUGGACUCGGGUGUCGCACUCCCGGGGGAAGAAAAAGGGCAAGAACAUUUGACUUCUAUGUUUGCCCCGGGCAUACUGUACCAACAGGGUGUGGAGGGCCGAGAGAGGGCUACUGUGGCAAAUGGGGCUGUGAGACCACUGGACAGGCAUACUGGAAGCCAUCAUCAUCAUGGGACCUAAUUUCCCUUAAGCGAGGAAACACCCCUCGGAAUCAGGGCCCCUGUUAUGAUUCCUCAGCGGUCUCCAGUGACAUCAAGGGCGCCACACCGGGGGGUCGAUGCAAUCCCCUAGUCCUGGAAUUCACUGACGCGGGCAAAAAGGCCAGCUGGGAUGGCCCCAAAGUAUGGGGACUAAGACUGUACCGAUCCACAGGGACCGACCCGGUGACCCGGUUCUCUUUGACCCGCCAGGUCCUCAAUAUAGGGCCCCGCGUCCCCAUUGGGCCUAAUCCCGUGAUCACUGACCAGUUACCCCCCUCCCGACCCGUGCAGAUCAUGCUCCCCAGGCCUCCUCAGCCUCCUCCUCCAGGCGCAGCCUCUAUAGUCCCUGAGACUGCCCCACCUUCUCAACAACCUGGGACGGGAGACAGGCUGCUAAACCUGGUAGAUGGAGCCUACCAAGCUCUCAACCUCACCAGUCCCGACAAAACCCAAGAGUGCUGGUUGUGUCUGGUAGCGGGACCCCCCUACUACGAAGGGGUUGCCGUCCUAGGUACUUAUUCCAACCAUACCUCUGCCCCAGCUAACUGCUCCGUGGCCUCCCAACACAAGCUGACCCUGUCCGAAGUGACCGGACAGGGACUCUGCGUAGGAGCAGUUCCCAAAACCCAUCAGGCCCUGUGUAAUACCACCCAAAAGACGAGCGACGGGUCCUACUAUCUGGCUGCUCCCGCCGGGACCAUUUGGGCUUGCAACACCGGGCUCACUCCCUGCCUAUCUACCACUGUACUCGACCUCACCACCGAUUACUGUGUCCUGGUUGAGCUCUGGCCAAAGGUGACCUACCACUCCCCUGGUUAUGUUUAUGGCCAGUUUGAGAGAAAAACCAAAUAUAAAAGAGAGCCGGUGUCAUUAACUCUGGCCCUGCUGUUGGGAGGACUUACUAUGGGCGGCAUAGCUGCAGGAGUAGGAACCGGGACUACAGCCCUAGUGGCCACCAAACAAUUCGAGCAGCUCCAGGCAGCCAUACAUACAGACCUUGGGGCUUUAGAAAAGUCAGUCAGUGCCCUAGAAAAGUCUCUGACCUCGUUGUCUGAGGUGGUCCUACAGAACCGGAGGAGAUUAGAUCUACUGUUCCUAAAA